AACGCACAUUGCGCCCUUUGGUAUUCCAAAGGGCAUGCCUGUUCGAGCGUCAUUUGUACCUUCAAGCUUUGCUUGGUGUUGGGCGUUUUUUUUGUCUCCCUCUUUCUGGGAGACUCGCCUUAAAACGAUUGGCAGCCGGCCUACUGGUUUCGGAGCGCAGCACAUAAUUUGCACUUUGUAUCAGGAGAAAAGGACGGUAAUCCAUCAAGACUCUACAAUUUUUAACUUUUGACCUCGGAUCAGGUAGGGAUACCCGCUGAACUUAA
Molecule: unclassified non-coding RNA, 266 nt
Filed under: uncultured fungus
Lineage: Eukaryota; Fungi
Description: partial contains 5.8S ribosomal RNA, internal transcribed spacer 2, and large subunit ribosomal RNA
Rfam family: 5.8S ribosomal RNA (bases 1-52)
Source: RNAcentral